GGAAGGAUCAUUAUUGAAAUAAACCUGAUGGGUUGUUGCUGGCUCUCUAGAGAGCAUGUGCACACCUUGUCAUCUUUAAAUCUCCACCUGUGCACCUUUUGUAGACCUUUUCAGGUCUAUGUUGUCUCAUUUACCCCAAUGUAUGUUAAUAGAAUGUUGUGACUAUAUAAUAUAUACAACUUUCAGCAACGGAUCUCUUGGCUCUCGCAUCGAUGAAGAACGCAGCGAAAUGCGAUAAGUAAUGUGAAUUGCAGAAUUCAGUGAAUCAUCGAAUCUUUGAACGCACCUUGCGCUCCUUGGUAUUCCGAGGAGCAUGCCUGUUUGAGUGUCAUUAAUAUAUAUAUCAACCUUCUCUUGUUGAAUGGUUUGGAUGUGGGGGUUUGCUGGCCUCUUAAAAGGAUUCAGCUCUCCUGAAAUGCAUUAGCAGAACAAAACCUGUUCAUUGGUGUGAUAACUAUCUACGCUAUUGAAUGUGAGGUGGCAGUUCAGCUUUCUAACAGUCCCUUGGGACAACUCAUCAUUAAUGUGACCUCAAAUCAGGUAGGACUACCCGCUGAACUUAAGCAUAUCAAUAAGCGGAGGAAAAGAAACUAACAAGGAUUCCCCUAGUAACUGCGAGUGAAGCGGGAAAAGCUCAAAUUUAAAAUCUGGCGGUCUUUUGGCUGUCCGAGUUGUAAUCUAGAGAAGUGUUAUCCGCGCUGGACCGUGUACAAGUCUCCUGGAAUGGAGCAUCAUAGAGGGUGAGAAUCCCGUCUUUGACAUGGACUGCCAGGGCUUUGUGAUGCGCUCUCAAAGAGUCGAGUUGUUUGGGAAUGCAGCUCAAAAUGGGUGGUAAAUUCCAUCUAAAGCUAAAUAUUGGCGAGAGACCGAUAGCGAACAAGUACCGUGAGGGAA
This 894-nucleotide ribosomal RNA is filed under the name uncultured fungus. RNAcentral describes it as "eukaryotic LSU rRNA". The stretch from base 527 to 894 matches the Rfam family "Eukaryotic large subunit ribosomal RNA", at positions 1 to 361 of the family's 3401-position model. Lineage: Eukaryota; Fungi. The record is from RNAcentral.